GACGAACGCUGGCGGCGUGCUUAACACAUGCAAGUCGAACGCUGAAGCUCAGCUUUUGUUGGGUGGAUGAGUGGCGAACGGGUGAGUAACACGUGAGUAACCUGCCCCCUUCUUUGGGAUAACGCCCGGAAACGGGUGCUAAUACUGGAUAUUCACUGGUCUUCGCAUGGGGGCUGGUGGAAAGGGUGUUUCUGGUGGGGGAUGGGCUCGCGGCCUAUCAGCUUGUUGGUGGGGUGAUGGCCUACCAAGGCUUUGACGGGUAGCCGGCCUGAGAGGGUGACCGGUCACAUUGGGACGGAGCUACGGCCCAGACUCCUACGGGGGGCGGCAGUGGGGACUAUGGCACAAUGGGCGCAAGCCUGAUGCAGCGACGCCGCGUGAGGGAUGGGGACCUUCGGGUUGUGAACCUCUUUCGGUCAUGGUCAAGCCGCAACAAUGGUUGUGGUGAGGGUAGUGGGUAAAGAAGCGCCGGCUAACUACGUG
RNAcentral lists this ribosomal RNA (483 nucleotides) under uncultured bacterium. RNAcentral's name for it is "partial 16S ribosomal RNA". It matches the Rfam family "Bacterial small subunit ribosomal RNA", at positions 28 to 507 of the family's 1533-position model. The record is from RNAcentral.